GUAGCGUGAACUGCUAGUCCGAAGAACAUUUGGAGAGGGCAGACGAGCCUCCACAAGGAAGAACAACCGCUUUGAGCACCUGUACAAAAUGGGCUUUGACAAUGUGACAGAGUACAAGCAGAAGAAGCAGCAGAGACUAGAGGAGCAACAGCUGAAGAGGACGAAGGCACAGAAGGCAAAUGGCAAUAAGAAGACCAAGAAAGAGGCAUCGGAAGCUCUGACCAAGCCAUCUGUCUGAAUGAACACCUUGAAGAUAGCGCUAGUAUUUCCUUUAUAUUUGAUGUUUUGAGUGAUAUAUCUGAGUUGAAUGUGCGCUGGUGAAGCGUGUGCAGUGUGUGCCUCACCUUAUGUUCCCUGUAGAUGAAUUUUUGGUUUGGCUAAAAUUUGUCAGAUUUUUUUUUUUUCUUUUUGCAGCUAAUAUUAAACUGUGGCUUCUGUAUCUGCCAACAUUA
Amphiprion ocellaris (clown anemonefish) is the source of this 452-nucleotide long non-coding RNA. RefSeq lists it as uncharacterized. The transcript is spliced from 2 exons. The record is from RefSeq and is a predicted model, not a curated record. NCBI's taxonomy places the organism in Eukaryota, Metazoa, Chordata, Actinopteri, Pomacentridae.